Molecule: long non-coding RNA, 553 nt
Organism: Apodemus sylvaticus (European woodmouse)
Lineage: Eukaryota; Metazoa; Chordata; Mammalia; Rodentia; Muridae
Exons: 3
Source: RefSeq, a predicted model, not a curated record
AUAAGGCUGCUCCUGUCUGGUAAAACAUCUCUCUGCCAAGAGCUCCAGUAUGUGUCUGAAUAACCACUUCCUUGAGCCUUCUCGGAGGGUACUGUGCUGAGCCACCCCUCAAGCUGCAAUUCUUCGAUUCUCAGGUCUUAUGAAGUAGCAUGGAUGUGGGAACACACUUCAGGGCUGGCUGUUCCGAAAACUCCCUCCGACCUCUAGGGAAGCCCUUACUUGCCAAUUGUGGACGAAGAUGAAUGUGCUUCCUCUGGGGCCCGACAAGAGAUGGCAACCACAGUUCCUUCAGGACUUACAGUAAGCAGUUUAUUGAAAAUAAUAUCAAAAUGGAAAUUUUCAUCAAAGGAAAUGGCUUUGCAAUGUUUUGCCAUUUUACUAUUUACUAGAUCCUCUUUGGGCACAUGAAUUAUGAAGUCACAGCUUGAUACAAUAGGCAUUAAAGCAACAAAGUAUUAAUAAUUUGUGUGAUUGUCCAAACCUACAAUAAUCCUCUUCCAUGAAAUCCUCAAGCUUCCCCUCUUCUCUCCACUGCAACAAACAAACAAACAUU